RNAcentral lists this ribosomal RNA (375 nucleotides) under uncultured organism. RNAcentral's name for it is "bacterial SSU rRNA". It matches the Rfam family "Bacterial small subunit ribosomal RNA", at positions 526 to 896 of the family's 1533-position model. The record is from RNAcentral.
CGGGGGGAGCAAGCGUUGUUCGGAUUUACUGGGCGUAAAGGGCGCGUAGGCGGCCACCGCAAGUCGACUGUGAAAUCUCCGGGCUUAACCCGGAAAGGUCAGCCGAUACUGCGGGGCUAGAGUGCAGAAGGGGCAACUGGAAUUCUCGGUGUAGCGGUGAAAUGCGUAGAUAUCGAGAGGAACACCUGCGGCGAAGGCGGGUUGCUGGGCUGACACUGACGCUGAUGCGCGAAAGCUAGGGGAGGCGAACGGGAUUAGAUACCCCGGUAGUCCUAGCCUUAAACGAUGAAUGCUUGGUGUCUGGGGUUUUAUAGUCCCCGGGUGCCGUCGCUAACGCUUUAAGCAUUCCGCCUGGGGAGUACGGUCGCAAGACUG